This 440-nucleotide ribosomal RNA is filed under the name Clostridioides sp. ZZV14-6044. Its description in RNAcentral is "bacterial SSU rRNA". It matches the Rfam family "Bacterial small subunit ribosomal RNA", at positions 338 to 795 of the family's 1533-position model. The record is from RNAcentral. Lineage: Bacteria; Bacillati; Bacillota; Clostridia; Peptostreptococcales; Peptostreptococcaceae.
CCUACGGGAGGCAGCAGUGGGGGAUAUUGCACAAUGGGGGAAACCCUGAUGCAGCGACGCCGCGUGGAGGAAGAAGGUUUUCGGAUUGUAAACUCCUGUCGUUAGGGACGAUAAUGACGGUACCUAACAAGAAAGCACCGGCUAACUACGUGCCAGCAGCCGCGGUAAAACGUAGGGUGCAAGCGUUGUCCGGAAUUACUGGGUGUAAAGGGAGCGCAGGCGGACCGGCAAGUUGGAAGUGAAAACUAUGGGCUCAACCCAUAAAUUGCUUUCAAAACUGCUGGCCUUGAGUAGUGCAGAGGUAGGUGGAAUUCCCGGUGUAGCGGUGGAAUGCGUAGAUAUCGGGAGGAACACCAGUGGCGAAGGCGACCUACUGGGCACCAACUGACGCUGAGGCUCGAAAGCAUGGGUAGCAAACAGGAUUAGAUACCCCUGUAGUC